GCAAUACCUAGGGUAUUGCACGGUGUACAAUUACUUUAAUCCUAGCCAUUCAAUUGAUCUAAUGCUCAAAAAUUGGACAGCUCAUUUAGACACGUCAGCGAUCCGUGUGAGCUCUCAUUUUUCUCUUCUCUUUCAAUUUCUCCUCUCUCUCUUCUUCACGCUUACCCGUAUUCCCAUUUAAAAAUUUCAGAAACUCUCUCUGACUCUCUCUCUUCCAGUUCCAGCCGAACAUGCCUCAGAAUCUAUCUCUCUCAUGCCUCAAAAAAAGCCACCAGUGAUGCUCCGGUUACCUCUCCACCAGAGAAUGAAUGUGAACCAACAGUGUUUCAGCUACCCACCCAAAUGUGAUUAGAUCUGAUGUGCAGUUUUCAAGGAGAUUCAUCAAGUUGAUAAAUGUUCCGGGCUACUCUCCAAAUGGGCUGAUUCCAUUAACUUACCGCUUACAGAAGAGAUGGGAAUUGAGGCAAGGAACAGAGUACAAGAAAUCUCUCAAGUUUGCCAUGCCAUCAAGGAGGGAUUAGAUUUUUGACCCCUUGGAACGACAGUCAGGGAGGUCUUUGUGUAGUUUAACACAAACCAUCCCAAUGGAAUACCACUGUAGUUAAUAACUUUUUUUCAAUUGGCUAAUUCCAAAUGCAAUUUUGGUUUUGGGAAAUGCAAGAAUCAGUUGAUGGCUUUAUUUUGAUGAAUAUAUGUAAUGUAUACAACUCUGUUUUACGAAUAGCAAGUAGUGAAGGAGUUCUGUUACUAGCUUUUAGGCCUUUAAAUGUAUUUCAAAAUUUUUAUCC
Long non-coding RNA from Quercus robur (English oak), 788 nucleotides. RefSeq lists it as uncharacterized. The record is from RefSeq and is a predicted model, not a curated record. The transcript has 2 exons. Lineage: Eukaryota; Viridiplantae; Streptophyta; Magnoliopsida; Fagales; Fagaceae.